GCACUCGUAGCUCAGCUGGAUAGAGCAUCUGAUUGCGGUUCAGAAGGUCACAGGUUCGAAUCCUGUCGAGUGUACCA
Molecule: transfer RNA, 77 nt
Filed under: Nitratifractor sp.
Lineage: Bacteria; Pseudomonadati; Campylobacterota; Epsilonproteobacteria; Campylobacterales; Sulfurovaceae
Also listed under: 1 other name
Description: tRNA-Arg
Rfam family: tRNA
About the family: Transfer RNA (tRNA) molecules are approximately 80 nucleotides in length. Their secondary structure includes four short double-helical elements and three loops (D, anti-codon, and T loops).
Source: RNAcentral